CCUACGGGUGGCUGCAGUGGGGAAUAUUGCACAAUGGGGGAAACCCUGAUGCAGCGACGCCGCGUGAGUGAAGAAGUAUUUCGGUAUGUAAAGCUCUAUCAGCAGGGAAGAUAAUGACGGUACCUGACUAAGACGCCCCGUCUAACUACGUGCCAGCAGCCGCGGUAAUACGUAGGGGGCAAGCGUUAUCCGGAUUUCGUGGGGGUAAAGGGUGCGUAGUGGGCAGGGCAAGUCAGAUGUGAACGCCCGGGGCGCAACCCCGGCACUGCAUUUGAAACUGGCCAGCUGGAGUGCAGGAGAGGUAAGCGGAAUUCCCAGUGUAGCGGUGAAAUGCGUAGAUAUUAGGAGGAACACCAGUGGCGAAGGCGGCUUACUGGACUGUAACUGACACUGAGGCACGAAAGCGUGGGGAGCAAACAGGAUUAGAUACCCUGGUAGUC
Molecule: ribosomal RNA, 440 nt
Filed under: uncultured bacterium
Lineage: Bacteria
Description: partial 16S ribosomal RNA
Rfam family: Bacterial small subunit ribosomal RNA
Source: RNAcentral